GACGAACGCUGGCGGCGUGCUUAACACAUGCAAGUCGAGCGGUAAGGCCCUUUCGGGGGUACACGAGCGGCGAACGGGUGAGUAACACGUGGGUGACCUGCCCUCAGCUCUGGGAUAAGCCUGGGAAACUGGGUCUAAUACCGGAUAUGACUCCAUGACGCAUGUUGUGGGGUGGAAAGCCUUGUGCGGCUGAGGAUGGGCCCGCGGCCUAUCAGCUUGUUGGUGGGGUGANGGCCUACCAAGGCGACGACGGGUAGCCGGCCUGAGAGGGCGACCGGCCACACUGGGACUGAGACACGGCCCAGACUCCUACGGGAGGCAGCAGUGGGGAAUCUUGCGCAAUGGGCGAAAGCCUGACGCAGCGACGCCGCGUGAGGGAUGACGG
This 385-nucleotide ribosomal RNA is filed under the name uncultured bacterium. RNAcentral's name for it is "bacterial SSU rRNA". It matches the Rfam family "Bacterial small subunit ribosomal RNA", at positions 28 to 414 of the family's 1533-position model. The record is from RNAcentral.